RNAcentral lists this ribosomal RNA (505 nucleotides) under uncultured bacterium. RNAcentral describes it as "partial 16S ribosomal RNA". It matches the Rfam family "Bacterial small subunit ribosomal RNA", at positions 28 to 507 of the family's 1533-position model. The record is from RNAcentral.
GACGAACGCUGGCGGCGUGCUUAAUACAUGCAAGUAGAACGCACAGUUUAUACCGUAGCUUGCUACACCAUAAACUGUGAGUUGCGUACGGGUGAGUUACGCGUCGGUAACCUGCCUGGUAGCGGGGGAUAACUAUUGGAAACGAUAGCUAAUACCGCAUAAUAUUUAUUAUUGCAUGAUAAUUGAUUGAAAGAUGCAAUUGCCUCACUACCAGAUGGACCUGCGUUGUAUUAGCUAGUAGGUGAGGUUACGGCGCAACUAGGCGACGAUACAUAGCCCACCUGGGGGGGUGUUGAGCGACACUGAGAAUGUGACACGGCCCAGACUCCUACAGAGGAGAACAGUAGGGGAACGUCAGCAAUGGAAGAAAGACUGACCGCAAAGCGCCGCGUGAGGAAAGAGGAUUUUCGGAUCAUAAAGAUCUGUUGUAAGAGAAGAACGGGUGUGAGAGUGGGAAGUUCACGCUGUGACGGUAACUGACCAAAAAGAAACGGCUAACUACGUG